GAUGAACGCUGGCGGCGUGCCUAAUACAUGCAAGUCGAGCGAACAGACGAGGAGCUUGCUCCUCUGACGUUAGCGGCGGACGGGUGAGUAACACGUGGAUAACCUACCGAUAAGACUGGGAUAACUUCGGGAAACCGGAUCUAAUACCGGAUGAUAUAUUGAACCACAUGGUUCAAUAGUGAAAGACGGUUUUGCUGUCACUUAUAGAUGGAUCCUCGCCGCAUUAGCUAGUUGGUAAGGUAACGGCUUACCAAGGCAACGAUGCGUAGCCGACCUGAGAGGGUGGUCGGCCACACUGGAACUGAGACACGGUCCAGACUCCUACGGGAGGCAGAAGUAGGGAAUCUUCCGCAAUGGGCGAAAGCCUGACGGAGCAACGCCGCGUGAGUGAUGAAGGUCUUCGGAUCGUAAAACUCUGUUAUUAGGGAAGAACAAAUGUGUAAGUAACUAUGCACGUCUUGACGGUACCUAAUCAGAAAGCCACGGCUAACUACGUG
RNAcentral lists this ribosomal RNA (497 nucleotides) under uncultured bacterium. Its description in RNAcentral is "partial 16S ribosomal RNA". It matches the Rfam family "Bacterial small subunit ribosomal RNA", at positions 28 to 507 of the family's 1533-position model. The record is from RNAcentral.